Long non-coding RNA from Rhineura floridana, 963 nucleotides. RefSeq lists it as uncharacterized. Lineage: Eukaryota; Metazoa; Chordata; Lepidosauria; Squamata; Rhineuridae. The transcript is spliced from 3 exons. The record is from RefSeq and is a predicted model, not a curated record.
AUCAACAGUGACCCAUCUGCCGGGAAGCUAGAGUAGGAGCUGCACCCUACUCAGUGACCACUUCUGUUGAGAGGAGUGCUAAGCAGACAGGAUCUAGGGUACUCCCAGAAAGGAUGGCUGUUGUGAGAAAAAUGUAUUUUUCCAGGUUUUUUUAAUAUAUAAUAAAGGUGUUGGACUAUGACCUAGGAGACCGGGGUUCGAAUCCCCACACAGCCAUGAAGCUCACUGGGUGACCUUGGGCCAGUCACUGCCUCUCAGCCUCAGAGGAAGGCAAUGGUAAACCCCCUCUGAAUACCACUUACCAUGAAAACCCUAUUCAUAGGGUUGCCAUAAGUCAGAAUUGACUUGAAGGCAGUCCAUUUCAUUUCAAAUGACUGAAAGUGGCUUGGACAAUGGCAUUUCUUUUAACGCAUGGUUGCUGCUAUUACACUAAAGAGGCAGCAUGGCGCCUGAGGUUAGUGGUGUGUGUGUGUCCGAGAGUAAAAUAAAUAAUUUAGAAGUUGCAAUGUAGUUAACAAAAACACUAGAUCUGGGUUUUUAUAAUGGGCUUUAUUGCUCAAAAGGGAUUAUGUUUGCUUUUGGAGAAACUGAAGUUGCUCUCAACUGUCCUCUUGGGUACCUGUUUGAUCUGUCAUGUUCAAUGUGUAUAUUUGUAAAUAAAGAGAUAUUACAGCAAUGCAAUACUCCUCUGCUGCUCUCUCAUCACAAAGAAACUGAUGCUGUAAAACAUUUGUAACCCGUAGCCCAGGCUUCUCCAUUUGGCCCAUCAGUCUAUUUUGAGGAAGCCAUGCCCACUGACCUUACCACUCAUGUCAUACAUUAAAGUGGGCUCCCUAUUGUUCCUUUGAUGAAGAAAGGUAUGCUCCCAACUGCUGAUGGGCAAAAGGAGUGUGCCUUGCUCAAGAAGGGGAACCACAUCUGUCCAGUGGAAAUUGCUUCUCCUUCCCAGUGCUACUCUUUGAA